GUCCUAGCGGUAAACGAUGGACACUUGGUGUUGGGGGUAUUGAGUCCCCCAGUGCCGGAGUUAACACGUUAAGUGUCCCGCCUGGGGAGUACGGUCGCAAGACUGAAACUCAAAGGAAUUGACGGGGGCCCGCACAAGCGGUGGAGCAUGUGGUUCAAUUCGACGCAACGCGAAGAACCUUACCGAGGCUCGAACGGUAACUGCAACUCCUGGAAACAGGGGGUUCUCUUCGGAGACGGUUAUCGAGGUGCUGCAUGGCUGUCGU
RNAcentral lists this ribosomal RNA (265 nucleotides) under uncultured bacterium. RNAcentral's name for it is "partial 16S ribosomal RNA". It matches the Rfam family "Bacterial small subunit ribosomal RNA", at positions 793 to 1055 of the family's 1533-position model. The record is from RNAcentral.